GCACAGCUGACGAGGCCCAAACAGGACGAAACAGCUGUCCAGUGC
This is a non-coding RNA of Echinostoma caproni, 45 nucleotides long. Lineage: Eukaryota; Metazoa; Platyhelminthes; Trematoda; Plagiorchiida; Echinostomatidae. The record is from Rfam.